AAUAAGAAUAAUGAAUAUAAUAACUGGACAUUGCUGGCCUAACAACAUCUAAAAACAUAUUUAUAUUUGACAACUGCAUGUGUACUGAUGUGUGUAUAGACAUAUUUCUACUUGUAAUGUAUUGUAUUUGAAUCUGUGAGUACAGUGAGUGUAUGUAGCUGGGUAAAUGCAUGCAGGGUUGGUUAUUAGAGGUUUAGGGUAAAAAGGG
This is a non-coding RNA of Pelobates cultripes (western spadefoot toad), 208 nucleotides long. The record is from the annotation of a GenBank genome assembly. Lineage: Eukaryota; Metazoa; Chordata; Amphibia; Anura; Pelobatidae.